Molecule: ribosomal RNA, 597 nt
Filed under: Tetradesmus obliquus
Lineage: Eukaryota; Viridiplantae; Chlorophyta; Chlorophyceae; Sphaeropleales; Scenedesmaceae
Description: LSU rRNA
Rfam family: Eukaryotic large subunit ribosomal RNA
Source: RNAcentral
GAAUUAAGCAUAUCAAUAAGCGGAGGAAAAGAAACUAACAAGGAUGCGCUUAGUAACGGCGAGCGAACCGCGCAAAGCCCAACUUGAAAAUCUCCCUUGGAGAAUUGUAGUCUAUAGAAGUACCCUCUGCAACGGGCUGAGCUAAAGUCUCCUGGAAAGGGGCGUCAGAGAGGGUGAGAACCCCGUAAGCUCACGCUUUGUUGCCUCACGAGGUGCUUUCAAAGAGUCGGGUUGCUUGGGAAUGCAGCCCAAAUUUGGUGGUAAAUCCCAUCUAAGGCUAAAUAUUGGCGAGAGACCGAUAGCGAACAAGUACCGUGAGGGAAAGAUGAAAAGAACUUUGAAAAGAGAGUUAAAAAGUGCUUGAAAUUGUUGAGGGGGAAGCGUUUGAAUGCUAGGGUGCGCCUAGGCUUAUGGGUCCUUAACGGGGCUCUGUAUGUGCUAGGUGCUGGCCAGCAUGGGUUAGGCUAGUGGGAUAAAAGCUGGGGUUGAUACCCGGUCUAUGCCACUGGCUUGACCAAGGCGUGAAGACUGCCCUUGUCCUUCGGGAACUGCAGUCUCAAGAUGCUGGCAAAAGGCUUUCAACCGACCCGUCUUGAA